Non-coding RNA from Salvelinus sp. IW2-2015, 823 nucleotides. The record is from RefSeq and is a predicted model, not a curated record. NCBI's taxonomy places the organism in Eukaryota, Metazoa, Chordata, Actinopteri, Salmoniformes, Salmonidae.
CUGACAUAUGUUUCUGAACAAACAGGUGGAUUGUGUGUGUAGCCUUUCUGCUCUGUGUAUUCUAGGCAGGUCUAUAUAGAUUUUGAUCAGAUUGAGGCUCAAAAUGCUGCCAUGGGUGUACGGCGACUCACGUUCCUACCUCAGGGUCAAAGUGAAGACAUCGGAUGGUAUUUCAAAGACAAUCUGAUAUUGGCGUGAAUACGGUUCUUUGGGUCCAGGUCAGGGCUCGUCCUCAGUCAGUAGUGGUGAUGUGGAACGACAGUACAUCCUCAGACCUCAGGGGACCUUCCACUUCACUGUGGGGAGCACCAGCUACACGUUAGACUUCACAGCUAUGACACAGACCAAUUCAGCCACCCGGGUACAGAGAACAGUCUGGCGUCCAAAGUUCAACUCCAUCGUCUCAGGGAAUGGCAGCUUAUCCAUUGCCCAAUCAGCCCCCACCGUAAUUGCCUCACCACCUCCCUCUGCUGGCUACACCUGGGAAUUCAUGGGCGAGGAGGGAGUGUGGAUAGAAUACCAGACUCCAGUGAGUGGGACAUUAUUUUAUUCCUUGAACCCUUGCAAAUAGCACACUACAUGACAGAUUGUAUAUUGUAUAUGCCCUCAUUAAGGUGAGAAAGGGGGAGGGAGACAGUCAUGGUAUAGCAGCAAAUAAUAUGUGGCUUUUUCCAGAGUUGCUCACUGGAGAGUGCUGGGAUUGAGAGACGCUACCAGAAGAACCCUAAGGGACAGAUACGCUUCAAAGCUGGGAGAUAUUCCUACACCCUCGACUUCUCAGGCAUGUGUCAGACCAACGUUGGCAUCGGGACCAAAAUAAUUG